This 999-nucleotide long non-coding RNA is filed under the name Zea mays. RNAcentral describes it as "long non-coding RNA (ZMAY_LNC004561)". The record is from RNAcentral. Lineage: Eukaryota; Viridiplantae; Streptophyta; Magnoliopsida; Poales; Poaceae.
UAGGUUUGCCCGUAUUCCGAGGAUCAAACUUUAUUAAGCUUGAAUAAAUUUAUAAAAAUUACUAUAAUAUCUAUAUCUCUAAAUAAUUUAACUAUAAAAUAAAACUACAUAUAACAAUCUAUUAAUGAUACUAUCACAAUUAUUAAUUUAUAUUUGUAUUUGAUUAAAAUUUAAAAUAUUUAACUUCUCGUACAGUUAUUACGUAACAAAGUGGAUGAUACCACCACGAUGAGUUCCGCCUGCCUACUUUACUUUGUCGUCUACCCUUGGAGCUGCCCUAGAACAGCCCAACACAGCUCCACUAUCGGUUUAGGAAUUAGGACGCCGUGACUUUUCUGGUUUCGUCCGAUAUUCAAACAAGGUUGUUCGGUUGCGCGUGGGUGGUGGGCCAUGAUUCUAGCUCUGGUGUCUGGUCGACAACACAACCUUGAACACCAGGGUAAAUGGUAACGGUAACGGUUUGCAUUCGAUUACCAGUGGUAACAAGUUUGAAUAGGCUGAUAUCAAUUUCUAGUGUGGUAUCGGAUUACGAUUGUACUUAAACAAACAUGAUUUAACGUUAUUUGUUACCGAUUACAUUACAAAUAUAUGAACCAAAUAUCACCCAAGUUCAAUGAACCUAGACACCUCAAGCUUGGCUCACUGGUCCAAGUACAUAAGCAUGUGCAGCAAAGUGGGCUUCGCUAAACCUGAUUGGAUUUCAGCACCUCAGGACCAUAAACAACUGACUACUAGUAGUAGUCUCUUGCUGUUUCAGAGGCAGACAGGUGGGACACACAGUUCAGUGGCCAGCGAAAUACGCGAGUCCACUUGGAAUGUGUACGGCCACACGUUCGGAAGAUACCACGACGCCGCGAGCAUACCGGAUGCAGGUCGCCGCGCCUAAACCCAUUCCACGAGGACCAACGGCAACGGAGGCUAACGGGCACGCGGUAACGAGUACCCGAACCGAACCCGUCACGGUUCAGGAGUGGCACGAGAGAGGACGUCACGCACCUG